Molecule: long non-coding RNA, 2334 nt
Organism: Drosophila montana
Lineage: Eukaryota; Metazoa; Arthropoda; Insecta; Diptera; Drosophilidae
Exons: 4
Source: RefSeq, a predicted model, not a curated record
UCAAAAGUUAAAAAAUUAAACGUUGUUUAAAUAUGAUUUUUUUACGUGCAAUAUUUCUUGAUUAUUAUUGAUGUUCAUCAAAUAUUUAUUAGUUUAUUCACAAACAACGUAACAGCAUUACUUCCAUACCAUAAUCUAAGAGAAAAGCUGGCAGCAAGUUGCAACUUAACCUGCGAACUUGGCCAACUUGCCUUCGCCUUGGCAACUGUGCAAUGUGCACACAUCUGAAAUGCAUGCAAAAUAUAACGCGUCCUGGCUGAUCUCUGGCAAAACAACAUUAAAUUGAAACAAAUUGAACAUAAAAAGCAUUCAAAAUAAAGCAAACACCUCACCGACGACGACGACGACGAGGAGGGCGAUACCAGGACCAGAGUCAGAACCUGAAUCGCAAGCGAAGCUGGAACGAGAAUGAGGUGCUGCCAAAGUAAAUACACAGUCCAACACCAACACACACACGCACACACACUCAACUGGAGCCAAAAGUUUGUGGAUGGGCAGAGGAAUGGAGGGCCAGGAGACUUGUUGGAUGGGUUACUUUGGUAGUUUGAAAAUAGAACGCAAAAUCAAGCAAAGUUUAGGCCAGCGAGUAGCACAGCCCAGCGCAGGAUUUGCUGGGAAUUGUGUUUGGUAAACAUUUUCGACUCUGUUGUUUUUAAUAAGAAAAUUGGCCAAAGGCCACACACAACAGUAACAAGAACAAAGGGACUGGCAGCAGCAGCAGCAGCAGCAGCAGGAGCAGGAUUUCGAGUAGGAGCUGGAUAAAGGGCGACUGCCUGGCAGAUUGCUUUUAAAUUCAAGACCCGCUCGGUUUCAGUUUUUAUUCCAUUUAACUUAUGUGUGUUUGUGUGUGUUGCCUGGAGAUUUAUGUUUGUUUGUUUUGGGCUUGUGCUUGGAUUUGUGGGUCAAGCCGAGCGAGGACGAGCAAAGCGUUUACGAGAAUUAGUUGCUCCGCACAUUGAUAGAGUUUCAAAAGGAUGGCCGAUGAGUCGGAAAGAAAUGAAUUUUUCGGAUGCUUGCUGAAUAAAUAAACCAGACUCAACCAGAUUCCUAACCCAGCCAAAGAGUAAACAACGAAAUCAAGAUGACAUUUCCCAAACCGAUAAGAAAUCCGUAAUAAACUGCGAUAAAAUCUGUGUGUUUUCCUAUUUUUGGAAAACUAAUUCCCAAAUCAAAUGCAAACAUGCAUUCAAUAUUUUCAUAUUAAAAUGUAAAUGUAAAUAAAAUAUGAAAAUAAAAUAUGGCUGAGAACGAGAACAUCAAAAGCCAGCCAGCAAUAAAAAUCACAGUCGGAAUAAUCACUGGGGAGCUUGCCCCGCGCAGGGGAAUACCCCGCUGCAUAUGCUUAUCGACUCGGCGUAUUGGCCAGACAUCGUCGGCAGAGAAGGGUAACAACAGGAUUAUGGAGCCGAAAAGGUGCUGCUGCUGCGGAUGAUCAUAAAGAUGACGAUGAUAAAGCUGGCGACUCGACUUUGGGGCGUAAUCAAUUAGGCGACUCCAAAGGUAAACACGCAGCCUCCACGCUGAACUGCCGCUGACAGAGGCUCAGGGCAGGCGCAGGCACUGUUAAACGUGGCCUAAACGCACUUAUCGAUAAUCUGUUGCUGAUUAAUGUCGAUUAUAAUUUUCGGAAAGGUCUGGAGCGGAGCGGAGCGGAGACGGGGCCAGCUUUAAAUUAAGAGCCAAAAAUGUGCGCUGCUUUUCAGUUGAGACUUUCAUUUGCUUACUGGCUCCGCUUGAUAAAUGAUGCAAUUAUGGAAAAGCGCUUACCCUUUUGACGUGCACGAGAGCGGAUCGUGCGUUAAUGGAAAUGGUCAUUAUCCAGGGUUGUUACUUGGUUAGGAUACAGUACAAAUGUCAAUUAAUGAAGGUCGGCAUACAAAAUACAAAAUCUCCCUUAUCCGAAUACACUCAAACAGUAGCCUAAAAAAUGAUAAAUGACAAAAUAAAACAUUACUUUGAGCGAUUAUAAUUUCAAAAAAUCUAUUUAAGUUCUCAGUAGCUUUCAUCUAAAACAACACGUUUCGUUAUCCGAGUCACUUCAUCGUCUUUUAUAGCGACUAAACCGAAUAACUUGCACUCGUGUAAUAGAAAAAGCUGCUGCUUAGUUAUCGCCUUAGCCCAGUGGGGAGUGAAAUAGCCAACUAAGUAUAUACUAACUAUAUAUACAGCUGUCAGCCAUCAACGGCCAAAGUGUUGACAAAGGCAGCCGACAACAUCAGGCGUCAGCAGCUGCGGUCCAGGAUGACUUAGACAGUCCGCUCAUCCUCGCCUGGAUAGCUGCAGCAACAAAUCCAAGGUAUUUGCAACGGAAAUAAACUGCGCACAUUGCACAAA